GGAGAUACUGUGCAGCUAGGGAGUGGGAGAGGUAGACGGUACUCGGUAGGAAGGGGUAAAAUCCUUUGAUCUAUUGAUGACCACCUGUGGCGAAGGCGGUCUACUAGAACACGUCCGACGGUGAGGGAUGAAAGCUGGGGGAGCAAACCGGAUUAGAUACCCGGGUAGUCCCAGCUGUAAACAAUGCAAACUCAGUGAUGCAUUGGCUUGUGGCCAGUGCAGUGCCGCAGGGAAGCCGUUAAGUUUGCCGCCUGGGAAGUACGUACGCAAGUAUGAAACUUAAAGGAAUUGGCGGGGGAGCACCACAAGGGGUGAAGCCUGCGGUUCAAUUGGAGUCAACGCCAGAAAUCUUACCCGGAGAGACAGCAGAAUGAAGGUCAAGCUGAAGACUCUACCAGACAAGCUGAGAGGUGGUGCAUGGCCGUCGCCAGCUCGUGCCGUGAGAUGUCCUGUUAAGUCAGGUAACGAGCGAGAUCCCUGCCUCUAGUUGCCACCAUUACUCUCAGGAGUAGUGGGGCGAAUUAGCGGGACCGCCGCAGUUAAUGCGGAGGAAGGAAGGGGCCACGGCAGGUCAGUAUGCCCCGAAACUCUGGGGCCACACGCGGGCUGCAAUGGUAAUUACAAUGGGUUCCAAAUCCGAAAGGAGAAGGUAAUCCUCAAAUGUUACCACAAUUAUGACUGAGGGCUGCAACUCGCCCUCACGAAUAUGGAAUCCCUAGUAACCGCGUGUCAUUACCGCGCGGUGAAUACGUCCCUGCUCCUUGCACACACCGCCCGU
Molecule: ribosomal RNA, 778 nt
Filed under: uncultured archaeon
Lineage: Archaea
Description: bacterial SSU rRNA
Rfam family: Archaeal small subunit ribosomal RNA
Source: RNAcentral